This 535-nucleotide long non-coding RNA is filed under the name Fukomys damarensis (Damara mole-rat). RNAcentral describes it as "lncRNA (ENSFDAG00000022890.1)". The record is from RNAcentral. Lineage: Eukaryota; Metazoa; Chordata; Mammalia; Rodentia; Bathyergidae.
UAACUCAUUUCUUUCAGAUAGUUUCACUUGCCUCUCCAUUCCUGUCCCAGGAUGGGGAUUCCAGGACUGGAAGGAAGGGAAGCAAGUGGGUCCUGAGAUCAGAUCGGGAGAGUUAAUGAGGCUGCUCUGCACUUGGCAGAGUGGUUGGAUGCUACUACAGAGGGGGAGAAUCUCCCCGCACCCUGCUUUAUGCCUUAUAUAAGUUGGAAACAUCAAGAUCUGAGGCUUCUGUGGCUUCCUGGACAGGAUCAAAACUUGGACAGCCAAAGCAGCAGCCAUAGUCGUAUACUCAACAUGGCCUAAGAGAAUGCAGAGAGCAGAGGAGCAAAGAGGAGGGGACUGAGUCAACACAAUCUCAAAACCACUCUAUCCUCAUGUCAACUGGAGAUGUCAUUUUCUAAAGCCCUUCUGAGCACAACCCACAGGUAACUUCCAAAUCUCCCAUGAUUAAAAGGCUUAACAGAAAACAUAAAAACUAAAUAACUAACAAAUGCAAAAAUAUAUGUAUAUAUAUAUAUAUAUAUAUAUAUAUCAC